RNAcentral lists this non-coding RNA (29 nucleotides) under Mus musculus (house mouse). Lineage: Eukaryota; Metazoa; Chordata; Mammalia; Rodentia; Muridae. The record is from RNAcentral.
UCUGAACUUCCCAAGUUUAAGAGUGAGAU